This 121-nucleotide small RNA is filed under the name Marmota monax (woodchuck). Lineage: Eukaryota; Metazoa; Chordata; Mammalia; Rodentia; Sciuridae. The record is from RNAcentral.
GCUGGGCACAGUGGCACAUGCCUGUAAAUCCCAACUCCUCUGGAGGCUGAGACAGGAGGAUCACGAUUUCAAAGUCAGCCUCAGCAACAGUGAGGCGCAACUCAGUGAGACCCUGUCUCUA